AAUAGCGGAGGAAAAGAAACUAACAAGGAUUCCCCUAGUAACGGCGAGUGAAGCGGGAAGAGCUCAAAUUUGAAAUCUGGUGGCCUCAGGUCAUCCGAGUUGUAAUCUAUAGAAGUGUUUUCCGUGCUGGCUCAUGUACAAGUCCCUUGGAACAGGGCGUCAUAGAGGGUGAGAAUCCCGUCCUUGACAUGAACUACCAGUGCUCUGUGAUACAUUUUCAACGAGUCGAGUUGUUUGGGAAUGCAGCUCAAAAUGGGUGGUAAAUUCCAUCUAAAGCUAAAUAUUGGCGAGAGACCGAUAGCGAACAAGUACCGUGAGGGAAAGAUGAAAAGCACUUUGGAAAGAGAGUUAAACAGUAUGUGAAAUUGUUGAAAGGGAAACGAUUGAAGUCAGUCGUGCUCUUUGGAUUCAGCCGGUUCUGCCGGUGUACUUCCUUUGAGUGGGGUCAACAUCAGUUUUGAUCGCUGGAUAAAGGCUGGAGGAACGUAGUACCCUCGGGUAAACUUAUAGCCUCCUGUCACAUACAGUGGUUGGGACUGAGGAACGCAGCACGCCUUUAUGGCCGGGAUUCGUCCACGUACGUGCUUAGGAUGUUGACAUAAUGGCUUUAAACGACCCGUCUUG
RNAcentral lists this ribosomal RNA (624 nucleotides) under Filobasidium sp. 7/1-40. RNAcentral's name for it is "eukaryotic LSU rRNA". It matches the Rfam family "Eukaryotic large subunit ribosomal RNA", at positions 45 to 656 of the family's 3401-position model. The record is from RNAcentral. Lineage: Eukaryota; Fungi; Basidiomycota; Tremellomycetes; Filobasidiales; Filobasidiaceae.